AUUGAACGCUGGCGGAAUGCUUUACACAUGCAAGUCGAACGGUAGAGGGGGCAACCCCUUGAGAGUGGCGAACGGGUGAGUAAUAUAUCGGAACGUGCCCAGUCGUGGGGAUAACGUAGCGAAAGUUACGCUAAUACCGCAUACGAUCUAAGGAUGAAAGCGGGGGAUCGCAAGACCUCGCGCGAUUGGAGCGGCCGAUAUCAGAUUAGGUAGUUGGUGAGGUAAAGGCUCACCAAGCCAACGAUCUGUAGCUGGUCUGAGAGGACGACCAGCCACACUGGAACUGAGACACGGCCAGACUCCUACGGGAGGCAGCAGUGGGGAAUUUUGGA
Molecule: ribosomal RNA, 332 nt
Filed under: uncultured bacterium
Lineage: Bacteria
Description: bacterial SSU rRNA
Rfam family: Bacterial small subunit ribosomal RNA
Source: RNAcentral